AUAAUUUUAUAACAGGGGAACAUUCUAGCGAAUGAACAUUGCUGGUGCAGGCUACUGAAACGCAAUUGGUCAGGUUUUUGGACCAAUCACGUCUCGACUGCUCUCUCAUCGGAUUUUGACCAUACAGAUGAAAAGAGGACGGUGAAAGAUGAACGAUGACUGACAAUAAUAUAGAGGUCUACUGUCACUAGUGUGUGGUGGUGAAGUUGUUCUCUGCUCAGCUGACAGACAGGAGAUACAUAGACAGGAGUCCAUUCUGUUCCAAGUAGGUCACCUUGGCUCUCCUCUAUGCACAGCACUCCAGGGACUUCCUGCAGGCUUCUACUUCAUCGCCCUGGACCACGACACGAACGAGCCAGAAGACGCUAAGUUUGGACCACCAUUACAAUGAGCCUGUCCUCCUAUAGCUCCUCCCACCAGCCUCCACUGCUCUUUUAAUUAUGGUGAUGCCCCAACUGUAAGAACCUGGAGAUCUCUACUGAUUUUGAGGGAGGUGACAUUGCCACAAAUAGUGCCUGGGACACCUUCCAGCGCUACUGCUGUCUGGAAAACAGCCAGAGGGUGGUCUGCUGCAACAGUGUGUCAGCUCGGCUGCACCUGGGAACUAUAGAUUGUCUGGGUCUGCUGAGAGGGUCAUUGGCUGCCACCUGCCCUCCAUUGAGGUCCUGCAUGACUCCAGGGCAAGGAAGCAUGCAUGAAAGAUCAUCACCGACCACUUCCAGCCUUUCUUCCACAGACUCCCAUCUGGCAAACGGUUCAAGUCAAUCACGACCAAAACUUCCCCCGUGCCAUGGCCCUCACCAACCAGCCACCUGGUCCACAAUGAUCCUCUCAUCCAUGGACUCUGCGCUAUUCAUCCAGACUAUAAACCGUGCACUAUCAUCUUACAUUCAUCAUUUAUAAUGUAGCUUAAUGGUUCUGCCACAAUAAACAGACAAAAAAUAUAUAUAUGCAGAAUUUCCAUAGAUACACAUUCAGUAUAUUCAUAUUUUGUCUGUUUAUUGUGGCAGCACCAUUUCACAUAGUCAAAUUUCUGUACAUGCAAAUGUUUGGCGAAUAAAGCUGAUUCUAAUUCUAAA
Oncorhynchus tshawytscha (Chinook salmon) is the source of this 1079-nucleotide long non-coding RNA. RefSeq lists it as uncharacterized. The transcript has 5 exons. NCBI's taxonomy places the organism in Eukaryota, Metazoa, Chordata, Actinopteri, Salmoniformes, Salmonidae. The record is from RefSeq and is a predicted model, not a curated record.